This 116-nucleotide ribozyme is filed under the name Aedes aegypti (yellow fever mosquito). Its description in RNAcentral is "drz-agam-1 ribozyme". It matches the Rfam family "drz-agam-1 ribozyme". Lineage: Eukaryota; Metazoa; Arthropoda; Insecta; Diptera; Culicidae. The record is from Rfam by way of RNAcentral.
UGCCUAGUACCUCUUAUCCCUACCUUCUCGCUGUACUGGCCGGGGUACGAGCUACCUUAGGGAAGAUUGGUUAGUCAACCCCGGUGGGAACUUUGGUCGUAUGCCGACAGGGAAGG